UACGUAGGUGGCAAGCGUUGUCCGGAUUUAUUGGGUUUAAAGGGUGCGUAGGCGGCCCUGUAAGUCAGUGGUGAAAUAUCUCAGCUUAACUGAGAGGGUGCCAUUGAUACUGCAGGGCUUGAGUACAGAUGAGGUAGGCGGAAUUGACGGUGUAGCGGUGAAAUGCAUAGAUAUCGUCAAGAACACCGAUAGCGAAGGCAGCUUACUAAGCUGUAACUGACGCUGAGGCACGAAAGUGUGGGGAUCAAACAGG
Molecule: ribosomal RNA, 253 nt
Filed under: uncultured bacterium
Lineage: Bacteria
Also listed under: 1 other name
Description: partial 16S ribosomal RNA
Rfam family: Bacterial small subunit ribosomal RNA
Source: RNAcentral